GGAUUGAUAGCUCAGUGGUAGAGCGGGAGAUUGCAGUUUCUGCAAAAUAUCUUCAGGUCGCGUGUUCGAUCCACGCUCGGUCCU
Molecule: non-coding RNA, 84 nt
Organism: Cephalotrichum gorgonifer
Lineage: Eukaryota; Fungi; Ascomycota; Sordariomycetes; Microascales; Microascaceae
Source: the annotation of a GenBank genome assembly